Long non-coding RNA from Rhipicephalus sanguineus (brown dog tick), 636 nucleotides. RefSeq lists it as uncharacterized. The transcript has 3 exons. Lineage: Eukaryota; Metazoa; Arthropoda; Arachnida; Ixodida; Ixodidae. The record is from RefSeq and is a predicted model, not a curated record.
UAACUUUCAUUUAUUUUCCGCGAUGGGUGGAUUCACAUGUUGUGUUCCUGGAUGCUUCAACAACAGUUCGAAACGAAAGGGCCUCGGAUUUUACGUGUUCCCGAAAGAGACGAAGCUUCGGCAGCUUUGGCUGCAGCGUAUCAACAGAGCUGGACAGCGUGGCAAGUUCUCAAAGUUCGUGCCCACAACAGGCCACAGAGUUUGCGGCGAACACUUCGAAGGAGGGGAAGAAAACGUAUAUGGUUCGGGUACCGAGAGUCUUUCCCCUUAAGCAAAAAAUUAUAAAGAAGCGUCGACAAAUUCAAGUGAAGCGCACUCUACCUGCCAACCGUGUUGAAGUGCAACAGCCACACAGCGAGGAAACAUCAAAUGAUGAAAACAGCACCGACUUGUGCAGUGCCACUGAGAACACUGCUUGUGAUACAUUCGAAGAACACUCAUAUACAUAUCAUGAGCACAAUGAAAAUGAUCUGCUGAAGAGGCAGCAAGAAUCCAUUCACCAUCUUGAGCAGGAACUAGAAAAAGCUAAAGCAGUAAUUACUGCAUUGAAGAAGGAGUUAGAGGAGAAAACAAAGGCUAAUGCAGAUUCAGCAAGGCUGUAUAACCGCCUUCAGCAAAAGAACAGAUGUUUGGUGC